This 253-nucleotide ribosomal RNA is filed under the name uncultured bacterium. RNAcentral's name for it is "partial 16S ribosomal RNA". It matches the Rfam family "Bacterial small subunit ribosomal RNA", at positions 524 to 776 of the family's 1533-position model. The record is from RNAcentral.
UACGGGGGGGGCAAGCGUUGUCCGGAAUUAUUGGGCGUAAAGAGCUCGUAGGCGGUUCGUCGCGUCGGCUGUGAAAACCCGGAGCUCAACUCCGGGCCUGCAGUCGAUACGGGCGGACUUGAGUGUUGCAGGGGAGACUGGAAUUCCUGGUGUAGCGGUGAAAUGCGCAGAUAUCAGGAGGAACACCGGUGGCGAAGGCGGGUCUCUGGGCAACUACUGACGCUGAGGAGCGAAAGCGUGGGGAGCGAACAGG